Molecule: transfer RNA, 76 nt
Filed under: Cronobacter phage vB_CsaM_GAP32
Lineage: Duplodnaviria; Heunggongvirae; Uroviricota; Caudoviricetes
Description: tRNA-Ala
Rfam family: tRNA
About the family: Transfer RNA (tRNA) molecules are approximately 80 nucleotides in length. Their secondary structure includes four short double-helical elements and three loops (D, anti-codon, and T loops). Further hydrogen bonds mediate the characteristic L-shaped molecular structure. tRNAs have two regions of fundamental functional importance: the anti-codon, which is responsible for specific mRNA codon recognition, and the 3' end, to which the tRNAs corresponding amino acid is attached (by aminoacyl-tRNA synthetases). tRNAs cope with the degeneracy of the genetic code in two manners: having more than one tRNA (with a specific anti-codon) for a particular amino acid; and 'wobble' base-pairing, i.e. permitting non-standard base-pairing at the 3rd anti-codon position.
Source: RNAcentral
GGGGCUAUAGCUCAGUUGGGAGAGCGUCUGCCUUGCACGUAGAAGGUCAACGGUUCGAACCCGUUUAGCUCCACAA